This 83-nucleotide transfer RNA is filed under the name Niveomyces insectorum RCEF 264. RNAcentral's name for it is "Sporothrix insectorum RCEF 264 tRNA". It matches the Rfam family "tRNA". From Rfam's summary of the family: Transfer RNA (tRNA) molecules are approximately 80 nucleotides in length. Their secondary structure includes four short double-helical elements and three loops (D, anti-codon, and T loops). Further hydrogen bonds mediate the characteristic L-shaped molecular structure. tRNAs have two regions of fundamental functional importance: the anti-codon, which is responsible for specific mRNA codon recognition, and the 3' end, to which the tRNAs corresponding amino acid is attached (by aminoacyl-tRNA synthetases). tRNAs cope with the degeneracy of the genetic code in two manners: having more than one tRNA (with a specific anti-codon) for a particular amino acid; and 'wobble' base-pairing, i.e. permitting non-standard base-pairing at the 3rd anti-codon position. The record is from Rfam by way of RNAcentral. Lineage: Eukaryota; Fungi; Ascomycota; Sordariomycetes; Hypocreales; Cordycipitaceae.
GGUCCUGUAGUCUAGCGGUUAGGACAUUGGAUUCUGAUUCCAUUAAAAUUCCAAGAGCCCAGGUUCGAGUCCUGGCAGGACCU